Molecule: ribosomal RNA, 253 nt
Filed under: uncultured bacterium
Lineage: Bacteria
Description: partial 16S ribosomal RNA
Rfam family: Bacterial small subunit ribosomal RNA
Source: RNAcentral
UACGUAGGGACCAAGCGUUGUCCGGAAUCAUUGGGCGUAAAGAGCGUGUAGGCGGCUUGUUAAGUCUUGCGUGAAAUCUCGGGGCUCAACCCCGAGCGGUCGUGAGAAACUGGCAGGCUAGAGUGCGGGAGAGGAGAGUGGAAUUCCUGGUGUAGCGGUGAAAUGCGCAGAUAUCGGGAAGAACACCCGUGGCGAAGGCGGUUCUCUGGGACGGUACUGACGCUGAGACGCGAAAGCGUGGGGAGCGAACAGG